AUCACUUCUUGUCCUUUUGGCUAAGGUGAAGUGUGCUAUCUGUUCUUAUCAUUGUAAUAUCACACACAUCCUCCAUCUCAGGACAGGAUAGUAAAAACGGACGUUUGGAGCUGGGAGACGGAAUGAGAGCUUGCACUGUCCACCCACUACAUUGCGGCACUUCCAGCAAUGGUGCACCCCAC
This is a small nuclear RNA of Peromyscus eremicus (cactus mouse), 182 nucleotides long. RefSeq annotates it as U2 spliceosomal RNA. The record is from RefSeq and is a predicted model, not a curated record. The transcript has a single exon. NCBI's taxonomy places the organism in Eukaryota, Metazoa, Chordata, Mammalia, Rodentia, Cricetidae.